This is a long non-coding RNA of Monomorium pharaonis (pharaoh ant), 381 nucleotides long. RefSeq lists it as uncharacterized. The transcript is spliced from 3 exons. NCBI's taxonomy places the organism in Eukaryota, Metazoa, Arthropoda, Insecta, Hymenoptera, Formicidae. The record is from RefSeq and is a predicted model, not a curated record.
AAUCCGUGAGGCGUCGCGUCAUUACCCGCGUCGUCAGUACGACGUCGCUGAAGAGCGUCGGCAAUCGUUGUCGACACCGCUGGAAUCCCAGUCAGGAAAGACAUUUAAAAGGAGGAAGAAAAGAAAGAUCCGACAAGAAGAGAACGGCAACUACAUGAGGCGAGGGACAACGGAAGAAGAAGGCUCAGAACCACGACCUCUCAUUCCGCUUUUAUCCCGACUCGUUACGCCGACACUACCACCGCUUCAUUGAAUGACUCAUUUUAUUUUCCGCUAAACGUGAGGAAAAAAGCUGUUGCGAGAGUCGGCUCAACUGUCUAACACGUGUGUCGACUGAUGAGCGCGGGGUCGUAUCAGGUAAAAAACAAGAGAAAGCAAAAA